Molecule: ribosomal RNA, 408 nt
Filed under: uncultured Methylomirabilota bacterium
Lineage: Bacteria; Methylomirabilota (SeqCode)
Description: bacterial SSU rRNA
Rfam family: Bacterial small subunit ribosomal RNA
Source: RNAcentral
CGUGGAGACAGGUGGUGCAUGGCUGUCGUCAGCUCGUGUCGUGAGAUGUUGGGUUAAGUCCCGCAACGAGCGCAACCCUCACCUCUUGUUGCCAUCAGGUCAUGCUGGGCACUCUAGAGGAACUGCCCCGGUCAACGGGGAGGAAGGCGGGGAUGACGUCAAGUCAUCAUGCCCCUUACGUCCUGGGCUACACACGUGCUACAAUGGCCGGUACAAAGGGAUGCCACACCGCGAGGUAGAGCUGAACCCAAAAAGCCGGUCUAAGUUCAGAUUGGAGUCUGCAACUCGACUCCAUGAAGGAGGAAUCGCUAGUAAUCGCGUAUCAGCACGACGCGGUGAAUACGUUCCCGGGCCUUGUACACACCGCCCGUCACACCACGAAAGCCUGCUGUACUCGAAGUCGCUGAG